AGCGAACGCUGGCGGCAGGCCUAAUACAUGCAAGUCGAACGGCUCUUCGGAGCAGUGGCGGACGGGUGAGUAACGCGUGGGAACGUGCCCUUUGGUUCGGCACAACACAGGGAAACUUGUGCUAAUACCGAAUGUGCCCUUCGGGGGAAAGAUUUAUCGCCAUUGGAGCGGCCCGCGUUGGAUUAGCUAGUUGGUGGGGUAAAGGCCCACCAAGGCGACGAUCCAUAGCUGGUCUGAGAGGAUGAUCAGCCACACUGGGACUGAGACACGGCCCAGACUCCUACGGGAGGCAGCAGUAGGGAAUCUUGCGCAAUGGGCGAAAGCCUGACGCAGCCAUGCCGCGUGAAUGAUGAAGGUCUUAGGAUUGUAAAAUUCUUUCACCGGGGAAGAUAAUGACGGUACCCGGAGAAGAAGCCCCGGCUAACUUCGUG
This 431-nucleotide ribosomal RNA is filed under the name uncultured bacterium. Its description in RNAcentral is "partial 16S ribosomal RNA". It matches the Rfam family "Bacterial small subunit ribosomal RNA", at positions 29 to 507 of the family's 1533-position model. The record is from RNAcentral.